RNAcentral lists this ribosomal RNA (45 nucleotides) under Trochulus hispidus complex sp. 159 LK-2014. RNAcentral describes it as "partial 5.8S ribosomal RNA". The record is from RNAcentral. Lineage: Eukaryota; Metazoa; Mollusca; Gastropoda; Stylommatophora; Hygromiidae.
CGGCCUCGGGUCCAUCCCGAGGCCACGCCCCGUUUAGGGUCGGCG